This 213-nucleotide unclassified non-coding RNA is filed under the name Hevea brasiliensis (rubber tree). The record is from RNAcentral. Lineage: Eukaryota; Viridiplantae; Streptophyta; Magnoliopsida; Malpighiales; Euphorbiaceae.
AUUUAUUAAUAAAUUACUUACUUAAGUGUUGAUUGAAAAGAUUGAAUAAAUAAUGAUGAUAAUCGUUUCAUAACUACAAAAUAAAAUUAUAUAAAAUUACUAUUAAACUCACUUAAAGUUUUUAAAACCCUCAACGUCUCAUACUCAUCAAAAUUUAAUAUAAGAAUAGAAAAAAUUUCUUUUUUUUUUAAAUUACCAUUAAAUCCUUAAAAA